AGUGAACGCUGGCGGUAGGCCUAACACAUGCAAGUCGAACGGCAGCACAGUAAGAGCUUGCUCUUACGGGUGGCGAGUGGCGGACGGGUGAGGAAUACAUCGGAAUCUACUUUUUCGUGGGGGAUAACGUAGGGAAACUUACGCUAAUACCGCAUACGACCUACGGGUGAAAGCAGGGGAUCUUCUGACCUUGCGCGAUUGAAUGAGCCGAUGUCGGAUUAGCUAGUUGGCGGGGUAAAUGCCCACCAAGGCGACGAUCCGUAGCUGGUCUGAGAGGAUGGUCAGCCACACUGGAACUGAGCCACGGUCAAGACUCCUACGGGAGGCAGCAGUGGGGAAUAUUGGACAGUGGGCGCAAGCCUGAUCCAGCCAUACCGCGUGGGUGAAGAAGGCCUUCGGGUUGUAAAGCCCUUUUGUUGGGAAAGAAAAGCAGCAGGUUAAGACCCCGCUGUUCUGACGGUACCCAAAGAAUAAGCACCGGCUAACUUCGUG
Molecule: ribosomal RNA, 492 nt
Filed under: uncultured bacterium
Lineage: Bacteria
Description: partial 16S ribosomal RNA
Rfam family: Bacterial small subunit ribosomal RNA
Source: RNAcentral